UGUCCUUGACACCUCUGUAUAACAUGUGUUGGCUAUAAAGGAAUGGGGAUAUUUAUAGCCAACUCAUGUUAUACAGAGGUGUCACUUUGGAUAUUU
RNAcentral lists this microRNA precursor (96 nucleotides) under Callithrix jacchus (white-tufted-ear marmoset). RNAcentral describes it as "Callithrix jacchus miR-9950 stem-loop (ENSCJAG00000065882.2)". Lineage: Eukaryota; Metazoa; Chordata; Mammalia; Primates; Cebidae. The record is from RNAcentral.